CGCCCCGCAGGGGAGUGGCAGACGGGUGAGUAACGCGUGGGAACGUACCCUUCGCUUCGGAAUAGUCCCGGGAAACUGGGUUUAAUACCGGAUACGCCGUAUUGGGAAAGAUUUAUCGGCGAAGGAUCGGCCCGCGUUAGAUUAGCUAGUUGGCGGUGUAAUGGACCACCAAGGCGACGAUCUAUAGCUGGUCUGAGAGGAUGAUCAGCCACACUGGGACUGAGACACGGCCCAGACUCCUACGGGAGGCAGCAGUGGGGAAUCUUGGACAAUGGGCGCAAGCCUGAUCCAGCCAUGCCGCGUGAGUGAAGAAGGCCUUAGGGUUGUAAAACUCUUUCGCCGGAGAAGAUAAUGACGGUAUCCGGAGAAGAAGCCCCGGCUAACUUCGUGCCAGCAGCCGCGGUAAUACGAAGGGGGCUAGCGUUGUUCGGAAUUACUGGGCGUAAAGCGUACGUAGGCGGAUUUGUAAGUAGGGGGUGAAAUCCCCAGGCUCAACCUGGGAACUGCCUUCUAGACUGCAAGUCUUGAGAUCAGGAGAGGCGAGUGGAAUUCCGAGUGUAGAGGUGAAUUCGUAGAUAUUCGGAGGACACCAGUGGCGAAGCGACUCGCUGGACUGAUACUGACGCUGAGGUACGAAGCGUGGGGAGCAACAGGAUAGAUACCUGGUAUCCCGCCUUAACGAUGAAGCUAGUUUGCAGUAAGCUGCUGCUUGUGACCCCUACCAUUAG
Molecule: ribosomal RNA, 728 nt
Filed under: uncultured Agrobacterium sp.
Lineage: Bacteria; Pseudomonadati; Pseudomonadota; Alphaproteobacteria; Hyphomicrobiales; Rhizobiaceae
Description: bacterial SSU rRNA
Rfam family: Bacterial small subunit ribosomal RNA
Source: RNAcentral